GCGGUGGAGCAUGUGGUUUAAUUCGAUGCAACGCGAAGAACCUUACCUGGGCUUGACAUCCACGGAACCUUAUGGAAACAUAGGGGCGCCCUUCGGGGAGCCGUGAGACAGGUGCUGCAUGGCUGUCGUCAGCUCGUGCCGUGAGAUGUUGGGUUAAGUCCCGCAACGAGCGCAACCCUUGUCUUUAAUUGCCAUCAUUAAGUUGGGCACUUUAAAGAGACUGCCGGUGUUAAGCCGGAGGAAGGUGGGAUGACGUCAAGUCCUCAUGGCCUUUAUGCCCAGGGCUACACACGUGCUACAAUGGGUGGUACAAAGAGCAGCGAACUCGCGAGAGCAAGCAAAUCUCAAAAAACCAUCCUCAGUUCGGAUUGGAGUCUGCAACUCGACUCCAUGAAGUUGGAAUCGCUAGUAAUCGCGGAUCAGCAUGCCGCGGUGAAUACGUUCCCGGGCCUU
This 453-nucleotide ribosomal RNA is filed under the name uncultured Syntrophus sp. Its description in RNAcentral is "bacterial SSU rRNA". It matches the Rfam family "Bacterial small subunit ribosomal RNA", at positions 929 to 1382 of the family's 1533-position model. The record is from RNAcentral. Lineage: Bacteria; Pseudomonadati; Thermodesulfobacteriota; Syntrophia; Syntrophales; Syntrophaceae.